CUUGCUCAGGUUAGUAAAUGUGUGAGGUCAGUUUUGGACCCAGGUUUUCCUGGCUCCAGGCUCAGCUCUCUAUCCACCAUAUCACUUGGCUGCCUUAAAAACAGAAACUUUGACAGUGCAACUAAAGCUCCACCCCUUCCUCUCAGUUCUUUCUCCUUAUAUAUAUCAAGGCAAACUCUGCUCUCUGCAUACUGUCCUGCCAGAAGGAAGCAGGAGCCCAAGGCUGGAAGAGUUUUUUCCUUUAGGUACCACAAUUGCCUUAAUAGAAAUCAACACUAACUCCUCUCCAGAUCUCCCAGAUCAAUCUCCUCUUCUCCUAAACCCUGUUUGUUCUCUCAGACAUCUCAGUCCUUUACAAGCAGGUCUAACAUGUGCUAUUCAAAGAUGUCAGUCUCAUCAUAUGAGGAAUUCAGGGAAUAUUUGCACCUUUGCACAGACGAAUUCUGUGAUGGUAUUAGAGUUUUGGAAGAAGAGAAGGAGGAUUCAUCAGACUCAGAAGAUAUUGAGAAUUUGACCUCUAAGUAUCAGGAUAAAAUCCAGCAAUCCUUAUUGGAUAAUGUUGAUGCCAACUUUCGGAGACGAAAUCCGGUCCAGGCUACCUAUUCCAUCUCACAGGAAUUGGGCUUGGUGAACUUCAUAAGGAAUGAUGAAGAGGACUCCAAACCUGCUGAUGCUCCCAGACAGUCUGGUUCUUUACUAGAAAGGGCCUUGGCUUUUUGGGAUGCCAUGCUGAAAAAGAUUAAGAAUUGGUGGAAAAAAUUGCUUACUUGGUUAGAAGAGAUGCUUUCUGCCCUGAAGAGAAUGGCAACUUUCUUGUGGGAGGGAAUUAAGGAUGGAGCAACUUUCUUGUGGGAGGGAGUUAAGGAUGGAGCAAUUUUCUUGUGGGAGGGAGCAGUGCAUGCAGUGACGACUGUAUGGGAGUGGUUACAGGGCCUGUUUUGAUCCCCUCCAUUUAAUUCCCCCCCUUUCCAUAAAGAGGGCCCAAUAUCAUGGGUAUCUUGUCAGAUUUCUGUAUUUAGGGUGAUAUUAAUUUGAAAGAUUAUAAAAACAUUACAAAAGAUAGAAGAGGCUGAAUUUCCAUGCACAUAACAGAACGCCAAGAGAAGUGUGUAAACCUUCUUUCUAUUUCAUGGUGUGGGAAUUUAUUUUUCAUAUACUGUAUGAAUUGCUGUAAUUAGAGAGAAUUCCUGUGUUCCCCCGUCUGGGGCCUGGGUCAGAGAUAUCAUGUAGCAGGCUGCCUUUUUCAUUUUCUUUGUUCUUGGAAAUCCCAAAGAACAUCAUCCCUUUGGACAGAAUUUGGUUAAGAAAUGAAGGAGGCAAGGCUUCUUUUCCUGUGGACUUGACUGUCCACCUGUGGGGGUGGAUCAGUGGAUGGAGCACUUAUCACCAAUUAAAGAUGUCUGGGGGACAGACAAUGCUAUCUAUGUAUGCAAUUAGAACACCUUGGGGUGUUCAAGGGAGAGGCUGAACAAUGAGCUCCUAAAGAACUAUUUAUUGGACUACCUGACCCAGUUCAGGUCAUCCCUGGUCAGGAGAGAGCCAUGGAAAAUUAUAUCCCUUUAUCACCUGAUAAUGACGAUUAUCUGUGAAAACCUGGUUCCUCUCAGCAAUGAGAUACAGUGCAAAGCUCUGGGACAAUCCUGAGACUUUUUUUUUAAACCCUUACCUUCCAUCUUGGAAUCAAUACUGUACAUUGGUUCCGAGGCAGAAGAGUGGGAAGGGCUAGGCAAUGGGGGUCAAAUGACUUGCCCAGGGUCACACAGCUGGGAAGUGUCUGAGACCAGAUUUGAACCUAGGACCUCCCAUCUCUAGGUCUGGCUCUCAAUCCAUUGAGCUACUCAGCUGCCCCCAAUCCUGAGACUUCUGAUGGGGAAACUAUCCACCUCCAGAGAAAGGGAGUUGUCUUUCACACCAGUGUAUUUAUGGUUUUAUUUUGGGGUUUUGGUUAUGUAUGAGUUUGCUCUGACAACAAGAGCCAGUAUGGAAGUGUGUUUUGCAUGAUAAUAAAAAUGAAAAAAUAAAAUAAACA
Long non-coding RNA from Monodelphis domestica (gray short-tailed opossum), 2029 nucleotides. NCBI's taxonomy places the organism in Eukaryota, Metazoa, Chordata, Mammalia, Didelphimorphia, Didelphidae. The record is from Ensembl.